This 497-nucleotide ribosomal RNA is filed under the name uncultured bacterium. Its description in RNAcentral is "partial 16S ribosomal RNA". It matches the Rfam family "Bacterial small subunit ribosomal RNA", at positions 28 to 507 of the family's 1533-position model. The record is from RNAcentral.
GAUGAACGCUGGCGGCGUGCCUAAUACAUGCAAGUCGAGCGAACAGACGCGGAGCUUGCUCCUCUGACGUUAGCGGCGGACGGGUGAGUAACACGUGGAUAACCUCCCUAUAAGACUGGGAUAACUUCGGGAAACGGGAUCUAAUACCGGAUAAUAUAUUGAACCGCAUGGUGCAAUAGUGAAAGACGGUUUUGCUGUCACUUAUAGAUGGAUCCGCGCCGCAUUGGCUAGUUGGUAAGGUAACGGGUUACCAAGGGGACGAUGCGUAGCCGAGCUGCGAGGGUGAUCGCCCACACUGGAGCUGGACCACGGUCCAUACUCCUACGGGAGGGAGCAGUAUGGAAUCUUCCGCAGUGGGCGGAAGCCUUACGCAGCAACGCCGCGUGAGUGAUGAAGGUCUUCCGAUCGUAAAACUCUGUUAUUAGUGAAGAACAAAUGUGGAAGUAACUAUGCACGUCUUGACGGUACCUAAUCAGAAAGCCACGGCUAACUACGUG